CAGCUUUCUUGCAAAAAUCU
This 20-nucleotide small nuclear RNA is filed under the name Arabidopsis thaliana (thale cress). Its description in RNAcentral is "snRNA_02070". The record is from RNAcentral. Lineage: Eukaryota; Viridiplantae; Streptophyta; Magnoliopsida; Brassicales; Brassicaceae.